CGAACGCUGGCGGCGUGCCUAAUACAUGCAAAUUGAGCGCUGAAGGUUGGUACUUGUACCGACUGGAUGAGCAGCGAACGGGUGAGUAACGCGUGGGGAAUCUGCCUUUGAGCGGGGGACAACAUUUGGAAACGAAUGCUAAUACCGCAUAAAAACUUUAAACACAAGUUUUAAGUUUGAAAGAUGCAAUUGCAUCACUCAAAGAUGAUCCCGCGUUGUAUUAGCUAGUUGGUGAGGUAAAGGCUCACCAAGGCGAUGAUACAUAGCCGACCUGAGAGGGUGAUCGGCCACAUUGGGACUGAGACACGGCCCAAACUCCUACGGGAGGCAGCAGUAGGGAAUCUUCGGCAAUGGACGAAAGUCUGACCGAGCAACGCCGCGUGAGUGAAGAAGGGUUUCGGAUCGUAAAACUCUGUUGGUAGAGAAGAACGUUGGUGAGAGUGGAAAGCUCAUCAAGUGACGGUAACUACCCAGAAAGGGACGGCUAACUACGUG
Molecule: ribosomal RNA, 495 nt
Filed under: uncultured bacterium
Lineage: Bacteria
Description: partial 16S ribosomal RNA
Rfam family: Bacterial small subunit ribosomal RNA
Source: RNAcentral